CCCCCCAGCGCCGCAGCUCUCCGCCCCCUUCCCGAGUAGCGGGACCGGCCUUGAUGGAGGAGGAAGGCAGAGGCGGGCUGGUGUCUCUGGCCGGGGACUGGAAUUUCAUCUGAAUGACUGCCCCUGCGCGCACGCAGCGCCCCGGAGUCGGCCCGCCCGCGCCCCGCAGCCCGCGCCCGGCCAGCCAGCCGGGGGACGCCUGCACCGUGGCCCGGGGACCGCCGGCCUGCCCCUCCCGCCCCGUCCGGAUCUAGCAGCCCUCGGCGCGGCCGCCCUCGCCUCCUGGCCCCGCAGACCCCGGGCUCCGGCCCCUGCGAGGGAGGUGCGGCGCCGACGAGCCAGGCAGGAGCCGCCGCUGCCGCCGCCGCCGGAAGAAGUGUGCUGCUCCCAAGCUCCGUCUGCCGCGGGGCGCGCCCCAAUGUCAGCCGCGGGGACGAGCGCAGGCCGCGGGCCGCCACUGCCCUAGCCGCGCCGACGGGGAGGCGGCCUCUUAUAUGGAAUUUGGACCCCGGCGCUCCCCUCCAAGGCUGGAGUCCCGGCCGCGGCCCUGGCGCAGUCCGCCGCCUCCCGCUAGGCGCUCGGGAGGAGGAGGAGACGCAGCCCGCUGCGCGCGCGGCGUGAGGACCGCGGCUCCCUCCUCCGGGGGGCGGGCACGCGGAAGG
Molecule: long non-coding RNA, 662 nt
Filed under: Homo sapiens (human)
Lineage: Eukaryota; Metazoa; Chordata; Mammalia; Primates; Hominidae
Description: HSALNT0359750
Source: RNAcentral